This 1159-nucleotide long non-coding RNA is filed under the name Gopherus agassizii (Agassiz's desert tortoise). RNAcentral describes it as "lncRNA (ENSGAGG00000005842.1)". The record is from RNAcentral. Lineage: Eukaryota; Metazoa; Chordata; Testudines; Testudinidae.
UCCGGCUUUAUUAAAAUCAUUUAUCCAAAGUUUAAAUGCCAAACGCAUUACAAUAAAAACCACAACCGCUUGGAGAAAAAUACACAAACACACACACACACAGAGGUAUGCGCACACACACACAUGCACACAGGUACACACACACACAGGUACACGUGCACACACACAGGUACACGUGCACACAGAGGUAUGCACGCACACAGAGGUAUGCACGCACACACACAUACAGAGGUAUGCACACACAGGUACACACACAAACAACUGGCUCCAAUGAACAGGGACCCAGGCUAGGGACCAAUUCCUGGGCUCAAACACUUCUCACGUGCCUGCAAACCAGGGGCUGCUCGUGUCUCUGGUGCGUGGGGCGGCUGAGCGGGAUCAGGGUGCAGGAAGCCUUUUCCCAGGGCUCAGACCCCCCUGCCCUCCAGCCACAGUAUUUUGGCUGUAAACCGCAGCACAGGAUCCUGAUUUACCCCCAUCCCCAUCCCCCUAACCCCAGAGUCCCAGCUGUCCCGGCUCAAUUCCCGUUCUUCCCCUCCCGGCAUUUCGGCUGCAAAAAGCCCCCUUCCCCUCCCUCAACCCCCCCACGUUUUGGUGGCAAAGGCCCAAGUAGAUCCCCGGGGGAGGGGGGACGCGAAAGCCACCAGCAGGGCCGGUCGGGGACCUGGACGGGCGAGGGGAGGGGCUCGUUUCAGAGGUGGGCUUGCCCCUCUGCCGCAUUUCCAGAUCGCCCAGGAGUGGACCAGGGAUGCCGACCCCAUUUCCCUGCCUCUCCCCAGCCCAACACAACUGCAUCCAUCCUACACCCCCAGCCUGCUCUGCCCCCUGCUGGCCCAGGGCCACCCAGAGGAUUCAGGGGGCCUGGGGCACAGCAAUUUCGGGGGCCUCUUCCAUAAAAAAAAAACUUGCAAUACUAUACAAUACUAUAUUCUCGUGAGAGCCUCUGCAGGGCCUGGGGCAAAUUGCCCCACUUGCCACCCCCCAGGCAGCCCUGAAUGCAGCAGACGAACACAACGGACCAGUCAAAACUACCCCUCCUCCACAGAAACCGUGGCUCUGGGGAAGGUGGCAACCGGGCAGUACAGCGUGUCUGCACACAGGCGCUGGCUUCCUCCUUUCCCCGGGGGUGUUCAACCCCCACUCGGCCCCAGGCUCCGCC